Molecule: ribosomal RNA, 440 nt
Filed under: uncultured bacterium
Lineage: Bacteria
Description: partial 16S ribosomal RNA
Rfam family: Bacterial small subunit ribosomal RNA
Source: RNAcentral
CCUACGGGUGGCAGCAGUGGGGAAUAUUGCACAAUGGGGGAAACCCUGAUGCAGCGACGCCGCGUGAAGGAAGAAGUAUCUCGGUAUGUAAACUUCUAUCAGCAGGGAAGAAAAUGACGGUACCUGACUAAGAAGCCCCGGCUAACUACGUGCCAGCAGCCGCGGUAAUACGUAGGGGGCAAGCGUUAUCCGGAUUUACUGGGUGUAAAGGGAGCGUAGACGGAAGAGCAAGUCUGAUGUGAAAGGCUGGGGCUUAACCCCAGGACUGCAUUGGAAACUGUUUUUCUAGAGUGCCGGAGAGGUAAGCGGAAUUCCUAGUGUAGCGGUGAAAUGCGUAGAUAUUAGGAGGAACACCAGUGGCGAAGGCGACUAUCUGGCACAUAACUGACGCUGAGGAGCGAAAGCGUGGGUAGCAAACAGGAUUAGAUACCCUUGUAGUC